UGGAAGGGGUAUUUAGGAUACUAAGGAAAAAAGGUAACCAAAUUAAAAAACUAAGAAAAGGAUAGUUUUUGGAAAAAAGCUCAUAAAGAGCCUUUUUAGAAAAACAUCCAAGAUUCAACAUCAAAACAAUUCAAAAGACUUGGCGUUGAGGUUUUGGCAAAACUCAUUAUAUAUCUAUGAUUCUUGUAAUCCAUAUCAAGAUUUUUAUUAAAAAAAAAAUAGAUACUCAAGUUAGAUUUAUAUGGUUAUAAUAUUCUGAAUGGUUAAUUGGACGUAGAAAAUUAGCAGAGUGAAAUAUAUAGAUAUACCAUGUGUUGUCGUUCUUAGAUUAUACCAAAUGGAUUUUUAUAGUACUUAUGUUUAAUCAACACACUUAUAUUAUAUUAAGAUAUUUGUUGAUCAAAUUUGGGAUUGAUAUAGCAAUACCACACACUUGAAUCUUUCCAACAAGAUCUUAGUAAAAAAAUGGAUACUCAAAUUAGAUUUGAAUGGAUAUAUACUUCGGAUGGUUAAGUGAGUUCAGUGAAAUAUGUAGAUAGACUAUUUGUUGUCUUUUUUAAAUGACACUUGAUGAGUUUUUUCUAAUUUUAUUAUGAUAUUUGUUGAUCAAAUUUGGGAUUGAUAUUGAUAGCCGGAUUUAAGAACAACACAAUCUGAAUUGAUAUUUAGCAUGCAUUGCCUGUAGAGAACAAAGAACAGUGAUGCGCAUAUACCUGACUUUUGGCGAGAUCUAUAAGCGCUGAGGGGGGAAAUUGGGAGUUACCACACGUAACAGUUCCUUUGACAUUACUGAGAUGCCGACCAUAAACGACUAGAAGAAAAGAGAGAGCUGUGACGGCCUGCAAGUUGGCCAUCGACGCUUUGUGUAUGAGACCGCCUACACACUUGCAUGGGUUAGUUAUUACAUCUGCUCUAAACAGGGAUUUUGCAAUUAUAUAUAUAUAUAUAUAUAUAUAAUUUGAUCGAGAAGUGCAUUCUUUAUGCUAAUNNNNNNNNNNNNNNNNNNNNAAUAUAUAUAUAUAUAUAUAUAUAUAAUUUGAUCGAGAAGUGCAUCUUUAUGCUAAUGAAUUAAUGAAAUCAGGAACAUUUGGUUUGGGGGAGACAUGCAGACCUGGAGUGUAUUCGGUGGAGAUGUAGGGAGACUGUGGCAGCAGUGAACAUGCAAAGUUCUGGGCGUAUCUACUGUAGUCAUCAUCAGUCUGCAACAAAAGAUUUAAUUAUUGUAGUGUCCCCAAAAAAAUAUAAAAUAAUUAGUCUAUCUUCACCACUAAUUUAACCAUUUCAUCUUUUUGUAACACGUUAAUUCUAUUUCAAAUAAUUCUUUC
Molecule: long non-coding RNA, 1325 nt
Filed under: Musa acuminata (dwarf banana)
Lineage: Eukaryota; Viridiplantae; Streptophyta; Magnoliopsida; Zingiberales; Musaceae
Description: long non-coding RNA (MACU_LNC006386)
Source: RNAcentral